This 253-nucleotide ribosomal RNA is filed under the name uncultured bacterium. Its description in RNAcentral is "partial 16S ribosomal RNA". It matches the Rfam family "Bacterial small subunit ribosomal RNA", at positions 524 to 776 of the family's 1533-position model. The record is from RNAcentral.
UACGUAGGGGGCUAGCGUUGUCCGGAAUCAUUGGGCGUAAAGCGCGCGUAGGUGGCUUCGUAAGUCCGUUGUGAAAGUCAAAGGCUCAACCUUUGAAAGCCGAUGGAUACUGCGGAGCUAGAGUACGGAAGAGGCGAGUGGAAUUCCUGGUGUAGCGGUGGAAUGCGCAGAUAUCAGGAGGAACACCAAUAGCGAAGGCAGCUCGCUGGGACGUUACUGACACUGAGGCGCGAAAGCGUGGGGAGCGAACAGG